UUUCCGUAGGUGAACCUGCGGAAGGAUCAUUAAUAGUAAGUGUUUUAUGGCACUUUUUUAAAUCCAUAUCCACCUUGUGUGCAAUGUCAGGGUUGAUUUUUCUCUCGAGAGGAUCAACCCCAAACAUCAACUAUAUCUCAACUCUUUGUCUGAAAAAUAUUAUGAAUAAAACAAUUCAAAAUACAACUUUCAACAACGGAUCUCUUGGCUCUC
Molecule: unclassified non-coding RNA, 213 nt
Filed under: plant metagenome
Description: partial contains small subunit ribosomal RNA, internal transcribed spacer 1, and 5.8S ribosomal RNA
Source: RNAcentral